This 76-nucleotide transfer RNA is filed under the name Candidatus Daviesbacteria bacterium RIFCSPHIGHO2_12_FULL_38_25. RNAcentral describes it as "tRNA-Arg". It matches the Rfam family "tRNA". Rfam says of the family: Transfer RNA (tRNA) molecules are approximately 80 nucleotides in length. Their secondary structure includes four short double-helical elements and three loops (D, anti-codon, and T loops). Further hydrogen bonds mediate the characteristic L-shaped molecular structure. tRNAs have two regions of fundamental functional importance: the anti-codon, which is responsible for specific mRNA codon recognition, and the 3' end, to which the tRNAs corresponding amino acid is attached (by aminoacyl-tRNA synthetases). tRNAs cope with the degeneracy of the genetic code in two manners: having more than one tRNA (with a specific anti-codon) for a particular amino acid; and 'wobble' base-pairing, i.e. permitting non-standard base-pairing at the 3rd anti-codon position. Lineage: Bacteria; Candidatus Daviesiibacteriota. The record is from RNAcentral. RNAcentral also lists the same sequence under 1 other name.
GCCCCUGUAGCUCAGUAGAUAGAGCAUUUCGCUUCGGACGAAAGGGUCGAGGGUGCAAUUCCUUCCAGGGGCGCUA